UGUCCUCCUCAUCCUCAUCAUCAGAGAUUUCCUUCUCAGUGGUCUUCUCAACCCAUAGGGAGAUGGGGUAGCUAAUGAACUCGGAGUGCUUCUUGAUCAGAUCCUUAAGACGGCGCUCCUCAAGGUAUUCCAACUGCAACCCCAACAAACAGACAUAAAUAUUAGGCUGAAUUGUUCUAUAACACUUCUUUAGAUUGGCCACCACGUGACACAUGGCAGUGCAAAAGGCAGAAUUCUAUUGGUCAGCAUAUUAAGACGAAAGGAAACAAAUGGCCCAUCAGUACACAAGUAUGAUAAACUUAAUACUAAAGAAUAAUUACCAUGAUCAAUAAUUCUUUGGUAUAUGAGGAAAAUGGGAUCAAAGAGUCAUGCCCUGGAAUUUCAGAUUCAAAGGUGGGGGCAAAACAAAUUACUGAAUUUCGCAGAAAGUAACUCUAGCAUUACAGAAAGGAAAAAAUACGAAGGAUGCUUUUACAGCUUCCAAUAGAAAUAAACUCCAAUUGAUUGCAUACCUUUUACUACAAAUAUGAGUCAAAUGACUAGUUUUAUAGCAUUUGGGCAUACCAUUUUAACAUUCCUUGUUAAUAGAAUUUUCUUGAAUUCUUUCAACCCAACCAUUAAAUGACCCAAUUUUCAUCCUACAAUAAUACGCUAAAAAUGUUUGAACAACUCAAUAAAAGUAAAACUUCCUCGUUUAAGUCUAGAAGGAUUAACUAAAAUUCUAAAUAGUGAAAUAGGAACUGAAAUCUUAAACAGAUAAUCAGAAGGUUAAGAAGAUAAUCAGAAGGUUAAGACCAAACAAAGCACACAAGAAGGCUAACUAUUGUGAUCGACACAUUAGUAACCAAGUGAAAGUUGUAGGCCUUACUAUUUCCAAGUAAAAAUUACAAGCAAGAUUAAUCAAUGAAUUAAAAAAAAUGUCAAUAUGAGAAAGAUCAACUAAGCCUCAAGAAUUGUCAAAGAAUAAGAGAUGGCAACUAAAGAAAACUUAGGACAUGUCCUCUGAAUUUCUACCAAGAAUAUUAUCAGAUAACCAAUCAAAGACGAUUGAAAACACACAAUUGAGGCCACCAAAUACACAAGAAAAUGACGCAAGAAACGCAUCAACUUAUGAUGCAUCAGAAUGUAAAAUGUAUAUAUACUAUCAAUAGGCACUACUUUAGAAAUGCUUUAUCGAGACACAUCAAAUAUAAUGCUCUAGAGGACCAUAAAAAUCCUAAAAGCUUUAGAGCUUCCCCUCCCCUAAUUCUUUAAAAUUAAAAUAAAUCAGCCUGAAAGUGCUGUUGGAUUUUCAAGCCCCCUAAAUAUGUGUGGUCAAUGCAAUCACAAACUAGGCCUAAAUAUAUUUAAAUUGUAAAAUGGUGAAAGCACAAUAAAAGGAAUAUAUUGCAAAGUCUACACAAUCAGUGAUCAUAAUUUUGAGAUAAUCCCUCUUGAGAUGGCAACAUUCCAAUAUUUAAAUAAUUAUGAACGCAUACAACAUGCAAUUGACUAGCAGGAGAAAAAAACAGGGGGGCAAAUAUACAAAGAGACCCCAUAGGCAUGCAAUAAUUAAAUAGUAACUCAAGAGUUCUAUAUGUGAAUUAUAAAAUAUUUAGGAAAGUGCACCUGCUAUUUGCUAACAACACAACCAACAAAGCUAGCAAGUCAAAAACUAAAAAGUAAAAGUAACUUGCGUAUCGCUAAUUAUAUGCUAUCAUUAUCUAAGAAGUUCGAAAAAGGAAAAUCAAAAUCACAAAUGCAGGACCAUCUUCAACUCAUACAAAAAUACUAGCCUAAUAACAAGUCAGCAACCUAUGUGAAAAAAGGAUACAAAAUAAAAAAUGAUGCAUCACCAAAUAAGAACAUGAACUACAUGCCCAAAGUGGCAAGGAGAUAUACUAUAUCUCCAAUCUAGACUUUUCCCAUUAACUAUGCCACAUGGUAGCUUUGACGACAAUGUAAGGUCUAAUGCCACACAACAAUAAGAUGCAAAACACAGCACAUCAGCUCAUCAAAACAUCAUGUGUAAAUUCUCUAUUUAACACCAGAAAUCACAAGAUCCUUAGAUCAAGGAACACCAUUCUAUGAAAAUAUAAUUAAGCAGGACAUGAACUAACAAAUCAACUUGAACAAAAGCCAGAUGAGUAACUUAACAAAUCAACUAGAACAAACGCCAGACUAGUAACUAAAUAGGAACGAAGAGAGCAAUAACUCAAAGUCCCAGUGAUAAACAACUGCUGCAUUAACAGAAAUAAGAGAGCUUACAACGAACAAUUCAUCAACCACAGGAAAGCUAUAACACAAAAUCACUCAUAAAAUCAAACCAAAACUAAAUUAGGGUUUUACUGCUAUACCUGAUCUUCCUUGAGGAAGAGGGUGAUCUUGGUUCCCCUCCCAAGGUUCUCUCCCGAGGUAUCCCUAGUAACAGUGAAGGAUCCUCCGGCCUGCGACUCCCACACGUACUGCUCAUCAUCAUUGUGCUUGGCGGUCACG
This 2475-nucleotide long non-coding RNA is filed under the name Ananas comosus (pineapple). Its description in RNAcentral is "long non-coding RNA (ACOM_LNC004593)". The record is from RNAcentral. Lineage: Eukaryota; Viridiplantae; Streptophyta; Magnoliopsida; Poales; Bromeliaceae.